RNAcentral lists this transfer RNA (50 nucleotides) under Notamacropus eugenii (tammar wallaby). RNAcentral describes it as "partial tRNA-Ser". The record is from RNAcentral. Lineage: Eukaryota; Metazoa; Chordata; Mammalia; Diprotodontia; Macropodidae.
UGGGAUUGACUUGAAAUUAAUCUUAGGAGGUUCGAUUCCUUCCUUUCUUG